RNAcentral lists this ribosomal RNA (276 nucleotides) under uncultured bacterium. RNAcentral describes it as "partial 16S ribosomal RNA". It matches the Rfam family "Bacterial small subunit ribosomal RNA", at positions 82 to 354 of the family's 1533-position model. The record is from RNAcentral.
CCGCCGCCGGCGACCGGCGCACGGGUGAGUAACACGUAUGCAACCUGGCCGUGACAGAUGGAUAACCGGGAGAAAUCCCGCCUAAUACAACAUAAUGCCGGGAGGGGACAUCCCCUGCCGGCCAAAGGGGGCGACCCCGGUCACGGAUGGGCAUGCGGCGCAUUAGGUAGUUGGUGGGGCAACGGCCCACCAAGCCGACGAUGCGUAGGGGUUCUGAGAGGAAGGUCCCCCACAUUGGAACUGAGACACGGUCCAAACUCCUACGGAAGGCAGCAG